AAGUAAUAGGCUGGUACAAAACCAAUUGUGAUUUUUGCCACUAAAAAUAAUGGCAAAAACCACAAUUGCUUUUGCACUAACCUAAUAGUU
RNAcentral lists this microRNA precursor (90 nucleotides) under Chlorocebus sabaeus (green monkey). Its description in RNAcentral is "miRNA (ENSCSAG00000020704.1)". Lineage: Eukaryota; Metazoa; Chordata; Mammalia; Primates; Cercopithecidae. The record is from RNAcentral.